GACGAACCGUGCGAACGUUGUUCGGAAUCACUGGGCUUAAAGGGCGCGUAGGCGGGCUCGCAAGUCAGGGGUGAAAUCCCACGGCUCAACCGUGGAAGUGCCUUUGAUACUGCGGGCCUUGAGGUAGGUAGGGGAGAUCGGAAUUCCUGGUGUAGCGGUGAAAUGCGCAGAUAUCAGGAGGAACACCGGUGGCGAAGGCGGAUCUCUGGGCCUUACCUGACGCUGAGGCGCGAAAGCUAGGGGAGCGAACAGG
RNAcentral lists this ribosomal RNA (253 nucleotides) under uncultured bacterium. Its description in RNAcentral is "partial 16S ribosomal RNA". It matches the Rfam family "Bacterial small subunit ribosomal RNA", at positions 524 to 776 of the family's 1533-position model. The record is from RNAcentral.